RNAcentral lists this ribosomal RNA (463 nucleotides) under uncultured bacterium. Its description in RNAcentral is "partial 16S ribosomal RNA". It matches the Rfam family "Bacterial small subunit ribosomal RNA", at positions 28 to 507 of the family's 1533-position model. The record is from RNAcentral.
GAUGAACGCUGACAGAAUGCUUAACACAUGCAAGUCUUUGGCGAAGCUGUGCUUGCACAGCCUAGCCAAGGCGGACGGGUGAGUAACGCGUAAGGAACUUGCCCUGCAGUCAGGGAUAACAGACGGAAACGACUGAUAAGACCUGGUAAAGUCAGGCGGACUCAUGUCCAGCCUGAUGAAAAGAGAUGCUGCAGGAGAGCCUUGCGUCCUAUUAGCUUGUUGGUGGGGUAACGGCCCACCAAGGCGAUGAUAGGUAGCCGGCCUGAGAGGGUGGACGGCCACAAGGGGACUGAGAUACGGCCCUUACUCCUACGGGAGGCAGCAGUGGGGAAUAUUGGACAAUGGGGGCAACCCUGAUCCAGCAAUUCUGUGUGCACGACGAAGGUUUUCGGAUUGUAAAGUGCUUUCAGCGGGGAAGAAAAAAAUGACGGUACCUGCAGAAGAAGCGACGGCUAAAUACGUG